GUAACUCAAACCGAGGUAUUAAACUGUGUUUCGCCCUGCAGCACCUGCAGCUGGUUUCCUGUGCUCAGCUAAUCAACCACCACCACGGCUGAGGUGUGUUCAGCUGCAGUUCCUCUUCUGUCCACUAGAUGACGCUCCAAGAAAACCCUUCAUUUUGAGGCAAAUGGGAAAACCCCUUAAUUCUCUCCAUCAAUACAAAUUGAAUGCAGGUUUUACACAACAAGUGUAAUACUGUGUUCAAACAGUGUUCACUUUGAAUGUGUCUGCUGGUGAUGGUUGACGUUUGUGGAUUUCAGAAAAGUGUUUUGAGACUGAAUACCUUCCACACACACUAUGUAAAUAACCCAAACGUCUCUGCUCCCACGGUCAGUGAAGGUGUUCACUUCCACCACGUUGAAGGCCGUGACGCCGUGACGCAUAAAUCAGCUGGCAAAAAACAGCUCGGGUCCUUGCUGCCCACUGUUGACCGCAAACCGUGAAACAACCAUCUAUAAAGCCGCUCAGGUGGACUGACGUGUAAAUCAGACGUGUGACUCGAACAUUAGCAGCGAUUUAGGGUUUUCUGAGCAACAUCAAGUGUAUGUAGAGACCGUCGACUCAUCAUGCAAACAUCUAACCACGGAUCUUUUUAUUUUCAAUGCGUUUCUCCAUCAGGCUCAUAAAUGCAUACAAACGUGGGUCAGAGGCUUCAAAACAAAUGCACAGAGCAAUUAUAACUAUUGAAACAGAAAAUGAAGAGAAAGUUAUCAUAGUGUAAUCUCUAAUAAUAAUAAUAAAAGAAAAGAAAAGGGAAUUAAUGAUCAUCAUGGUUCUGUCUCCUGUAUAACUUGCUCUAAUGCGAGACAAACUACAUUAAACUGCAGAAGAUAAAAGGAGGUCUGCACUCUGUUAGGCUCCAGAUAAACAGUUUAUUUCUCUCUAAGGCACCGUAUCGAUCUGUAAGGGACCGAGGGAAAGAGACAAGCAGGCAGCUUCUCUGCGUGGGAGGUGUCGGUAUGAAGCCUCACAGCUGGCUCAGGAGGAACUGGCUGUGGGCCGCCGGCGGUGCGUUCGCCACCGUCCACCUGGCCACCUGGCUGAUGCAGAGAGCCAUGAGGAGCGCCGUGCGCUCUGAGGCUGCACUCAAACAGAAACCUGCUGAGGAAACACUGGACUGACGCUCGGUCACCUUCUCAUACAAUUCAAGGACAGGAAGCAGCUUGUGUUGAACACAGCGGAGGACUGAGACCAACACUACCACUGAUUAACUCUGAUGAACGAUCCACUGUGUCCCCUUCAGUCCGACUUAGAAUAUUCAAUUGUGAAUCAUAAAACUGCAGCGAAGAAGCUGCUUUGUUCCACAGAUUUAGUGUUUUUUCUCUGUUUAAUUUAAUGGUUGGUUGAUGAGUGAGGUGUGAUCCACUGUGAAUCAAUCAAUAAACCAAUAAAAUGAUCAAAAGU
Long non-coding RNA from Anarrhichthys ocellatus (wolf-eel), 1440 nucleotides. RefSeq lists it as uncharacterized. The transcript has 2 exons. The record is from RefSeq and is a predicted model, not a curated record. Lineage: Eukaryota; Metazoa; Chordata; Actinopteri; Perciformes; Anarhichadidae.